Molecule: long non-coding RNA, 1712 nt
Organism: Frieseomelitta varia
Lineage: Eukaryota; Metazoa; Arthropoda; Insecta; Hymenoptera; Apidae
Exons: 2
Source: RefSeq, a predicted model, not a curated record
CGUUUCGUUAUAAGAAACAAAAAAAAAAAAAAAAAAAAAAAAAAAAAAAAAUAAGUAAUGUAAUGUUAGUCGAACGUCGGCUUAAGCGAUUUAAGGGGAAAAAAAAUAAAUAAAUAAAUAAGAAAUACGCGAGUCCGAGUUGAGACUCCGAUGAUGCUCCGAUAAUGUGACGCGCGUCAUUGUACUUCGACUUGUACAGUCCUUAUGUUCAUCGAGGUUUUAAGUCAUUGUUUUACGAUUGUUAAGCGAGAUAGGUUUUUUUUUUAGCUAUAACGAGAGAGAGACACGAACAUUUUUCCAUUUGCCCCUAUGCUCCAUUAUUCUUCUAUUCCUUUUUUUUCUUCCUUUUUUUAACUUUGACUCUUCCCGUAUUUCCUCCUCCAGGUUUGUUUUCCAUAAUCUUUCCGCACUUCUCGUUUUUUAACCCGGGAUUAUCCACCUGGGGGUCUAGUGCACUAGACUCCCACGUGAGUAAUUUCGGGUUAAUCUAACUCCCUUCGUCGUAUUCUUCGUCGCGUACGAAUCUUCCGUUUGCGUUAUAAGACAAGGAUACGACAUGUGUAAUUAUCGAAAAAGAAAAAAAAAAAAUUACCAAUACUAGAUUCGCUUAUUUCUGUUUUUGUUUCUUGUCUCCACGAUAUGAUUAAUUGUUAUGUGGUGUGCGACCAAUGAAAAUACACAUGAGAAUUAAAAAUUUCGUAAAUUUCAGAACGAGCGAAAGAGGGAGUGAAAGUGACAGGGAGAGAAAGGAAAGAAACGAAACACGAUGUUGAGGCAUUAAGUUAGACGGUUCGCAUUCAUAAAUGAGGAUUGAAUAAUCGGGAGGGGAAAAGGUUUAAAAAAAAAAAAAAGAGAGAAAAAAAAAGUAAAUGAACACACACACAUACACACAUACACACAUACAUAUUAGAUUUUCGGAUACUUUUAAGAUGGCGAGGCAUAGCACGUAAUGAAAUUUUUAGAUUAAGGCAAGUGUGUCAUAGUUAGUUAAGAAAUAGGGAUUCUUAGAAGUCGAUAGGUGCUGUAAUAAAAUGAUGAAAAAAAAGAAGAAGAUGAAGAAGUAACCAGAACAACAACAACAAAGUUUAACAACGGUCAGAAUUAGAUUUUUCAUGAAACUCGAAUAAGAACACAGGGCAUACGCCACUAAAAGUGCCCUUAGUUUAUUUUGGAUCGUUUAAAAACGCUAGUCUUUGUGUGAGAUAAUGUGGGGGUAAUAUAGAUAGGAACUUCUAAAAAAGGAAAAAAAUACGAAAAAAAGAGGAGAAAAACGAAACAAACGAAAAAAUGCAAAACAGAAAACAAAAAGAGAGAAAGAGAGAGCACGCGCGCGCGAAAGAGAGAGAGAGAGAGAGAGAGAGAAACAGAGAGAGAGAGAGAGAAAGUGCGAGACGAAUAUGUGGUGUGUAAAUUGUAUGCAUAAUUUAUAAUGCGUACUUUAAAAAAAAAAAGAGGAAAAAGAAGAAAAAAAUAAGAACAACCAUCUGCCUAUGACACGACACAGACUGCAGAGACACACUGUUACUGUAAACUGCACACUGCGUGUGCACGCUCUGAAUGUCACACUUCUUACACUUUGUAUGCGGAGCGUGCACUUGAACAGUUUUUAGAGUUACUUACAAGUAUGGUUUGGUAUAUUCAAAGUGAAAGAAUCAAAUUCUUAAUUAUCAUCCCUUAUUUUUGAUCAAUAAACGAUCUGUUUUGGGGAUUUA